AGAGGCGGUCGCACAAGGCCGAGCUGGAGCACUAGUGGAGUUGGCGGGAAAGGCACGGCUGCGGGCGCCCCCUGUCCGCACGGAGGAGCCGAAGUCCCGCAGGGUGGGGUCCCCGCCUGCGCUGAGAUGGCCACCUGGUCGAGAGAACAGGCGAGACGGAAACCAGAGAAACUCCUCUGUCUGGUGCACCUAACCCUCUCCCUCGUAAAGUGCACACGAACUCUGAUUUUUUCCGUUGCAAAUUUUGCUUUCUACACAGACCAUACCACUCGUUGCUCUCUGAGGAUGAGUUCCUGGCUUCCCAGUCCAGCAGAAGUAUCUACAUCUAUUUCUGGAAAGGACUUGAACUUGGCUUCUCGUCCUUCUGGAAAUGAGGCGAAAAUGCCAGGCUGUGCAGCUAUCCUGAGGCCCGGCCUGGAACCUGGCUAGCCACCCAGUCCUGAUACCUCAUCUCCUUUCUGUUGGAUAAAGUCAUUGGAUAAGAUCCCCCAGGGUCUUCUUAAUACUGAACAUCUGUUCAUAAUCACGUAAGUGACCAAGUAUAGUGGAAAACCCGA
Molecule: non-coding RNA, 557 nt
Filed under: Pongo abelii (Sumatran orangutan)
Lineage: Eukaryota; Metazoa; Chordata; Mammalia; Primates; Hominidae
Source: RNAcentral